This 108-nucleotide ribosomal RNA is filed under the name Hordeum cordobense. The record is from RNAcentral. Lineage: Eukaryota; Viridiplantae; Streptophyta; Magnoliopsida; Poales; Poaceae.
GGAUGCGAUCAUACCCGCACUAAAGCACUGGAUCCCGAAGUUAAGCGUGCUUGGGCGAGAGUAGUACUAGGAUAGGUGAUCUCCUGGGAAGUCCUCGUAUUGCAUUCC